MicroRNA precursor from Procavia capensis (Cape rock hyrax), 153 nucleotides. The record is from Ensembl. NCBI's taxonomy places the organism in Eukaryota, Metazoa, Chordata, Mammalia, Hyracoidea, Procaviidae.
AAUACAGGAAACCCAGUUAAAUUCAAAUUUCAGAUAAUCAGUGAACAAUUUUUUAGUAUAAGUAUGUCCCAUGACAUACUUGGGACAUACUUAUACUAAAAAAUUGUUUGUUGUUUAUCUGAAAUUCAAAUUGAACUGAGUGUCCUAUAUUUU